Schistocerca piceifrons (Central American locust) is the source of this 369-nucleotide long non-coding RNA. RefSeq lists it as uncharacterized. NCBI's taxonomy places the organism in Eukaryota, Metazoa, Arthropoda, Insecta, Orthoptera, Acrididae. The record is from RefSeq and is a predicted model, not a curated record. The transcript is spliced from 3 exons.
UGGCGGAGAUCUAUAUUUAGUGGACUGAAUGAAGACUGAGAAAAUGCAGUUUGAAAUGCAAGUGUUGUUUGUGUAUGUGAUGCUGAUAAACCUUUGAAGACUUGUGACGUGUAAUUUGCACACGUCACGGCCUCAUGUGCCUCAACAGAAGACUGCAAUACAAGACUGAAGGCGAAAACCCACUCGAGUACAACUCUCAAGACUGAGAAGGGGGCAUCGGUGGGAGUCUGCCUCCUCCUAAAACAAUAACUAAUAACCUAGCAGAGUUGUCCUGUCGGCAUGGGCGACUCACGGGACCGCUUGGACUCGGAUGACGAAGCAGGCAGCGGCGAGGGCGGCGCGGAUGCUCGGGCCGCCGGUAGCGGUGGC